CCUGCCGCCCGUUUUGCCCGCGGGGAAGCCGAGGCCCGGCGCCGUAUCCUGCCGCCCGUUUUACCCGCGAGGAAGCCGAGGCCCGGCGCCGUAUCGUGCCGCCCGUUUUGCCCGCGGGGAAGCCGAGGCCCGGCGCCGUAUCCUGUGGCCGUUUUACCCGCGGGAAAGUCGAGGCCCGGCGCCGUAUCCUGCCGCCCGUUUUACCCGCGAGGAAGCCGAGGCCCGGCGCCGUAUCCUGCCGCCCGUUUUACCCGCGGAGACGCCGAGGCCCGAUGCCGUAUCCUGCCGCCCGUUUUACCCGCGGGAAAGCCGAGGCCCGGUGCUGUAUUCUGCCGCCCAUUUUACCCGCGGGGAAGCUGAGGCCCAGUGCUGUUUAAUAUCUUACUCAUGUUCACUUGAUGAGAAAGUGACAGAUCUGAGACAAACCCAGUUCUAGAGGUUAUGACACCAGCCAUGGAAGAGCAGAGAGGCCAAUGAGGUGGGGAGGUUGGAAACAAAAGGCCUUCUCCACCCCAGCUUGACCAACCCAAAAGCUGGAAGGCAAGGAAGACCUAGAUCGACAGAAAAGAAAUGAGUCAACGAUGGUGCAGGAUCUGGGGGUUUCUUCAAGCUCCCAGACUUGCUCAGGCACAUUGCAAAUAGCCAUGAUUUGAGAUGAUUUUCUUUAAUGCUGAAGCAGAUGAAGAACCCAGGUUCUUUUUAGUGGCAAGGCUUGUUUAUCAGCAGCUAUACAGCUAUGGGCACAGACACAGGUAAACAGCACAGAUGCUGGGAGAGGGCUGGCAUCUGACCGUGACCAUCACGCCCAUGUGACAAAGGAUGUCACCACAGUGAACAGUUCUGACCACAGUGGCUUUUCACCUGCUUCGUUAAAUUUAACUCACACCGGCUCAGAGGACAAUUUGAUUCAUUCUGUAUCUCAGCAGAAACCAGAGCACCUCAGAAGAUCAAGGCUUCCAAAUUCUCCUGGGGGAACAGACGUCAGCCAUUCAGCACAAAGGAAACUUCCUUCUCUGUAUGUCAGAGGAAGACAUAAUUGUGCCAUUUCCUUCUUGAAGAAGUUUACAAACAUUUGCAAGUUGUCAAAAAUAAUUAGUCUAAAAUUGUUUCAUAAACCGUGGAAUGAAACAGGACGUGCCUUGUUGAGAUCAAAGGGCUUCUGUUACCUUCUUGUAAACUCAA
This 1182-nucleotide long non-coding RNA is filed under the name Homo sapiens (human). RNAcentral describes it as "HSALNT0402121". Lineage: Eukaryota; Metazoa; Chordata; Mammalia; Primates; Hominidae. The record is from RNAcentral.